Molecule: unclassified non-coding RNA, 261 nt
Filed under: Hevea brasiliensis (rubber tree)
Lineage: Eukaryota; Viridiplantae; Streptophyta; Magnoliopsida; Malpighiales; Euphorbiaceae
Source: RNAcentral
AGAGAGAGAGAGGAGAGAGAGGGGAGAGAGAAAUAAAAUGUGUAGCAGUCCCACUGAGACUUUGAAAAUAGGUGCAAUGACCUUAUUGCUCACCAUGUUGCUGAGAAUUUCAACAGAAUUAUAUCCUAAUGACAUUAUUGUUAAAAAAAUUAAAGUUCAAUUAUUUAUGCGAUAAAUCAAAAUUUAGUAACAAUCAUGGAUUUUUUUUGAACUUGACUGUGAUAGAAGUAUUUGAAUUCAUUUCUGAUCCUUUUGUUAUGG